This is a long non-coding RNA of Manis javanica (Malayan pangolin), 483 nucleotides long. RefSeq lists it as uncharacterized. The record is from RefSeq and is a predicted model, not a curated record. Lineage: Eukaryota; Metazoa; Chordata; Mammalia; Pholidota; Manidae.
UCCAGAAGCUGUACUCCCUGGAGCUGCUCAGCCCCUGAAGCCAUGUCAGGGUCAUAGAUACCCCUGGAUCUCAAUCCACAAAUCCAGGUUGUCUCAGGUGUGCUGCUGGCAUAAAGGGGUGAGGAUUGCCGUGAGGAUUGCCAUUCCAUUGACAGGACUUCAAAAUCAGGUGAGGCAAGGGGAAGCCCAGAGCUGCAGAGGUGGGACACUGAGCUGCCAGGAGGAAGAGAGGCUCUGCAGUGGAACACCCCUGAGGACUUCAGAAAAGGGCUCUGAGUUUGAGUUCUGCCUCUGCCACUAACUAGCUAUGUGCCCUUGGGGAAACAACACCUCUAGGAGCUUCAGUUUUCAAUUUAUAAGAAUUCCAAAAGUACCUCUCCCACUCCAGUUCCCAACACUCUGGAUUCUGAUGAAUAAAGUCUCCUUCUUUAAGGGAUCAUGAGGCAGGUGCUCCCUUCAUCAAAGAGCCCUGGCAAAAUGGCA